UACGUAGGGGGCUAGCGUUGUCCGGAAUCAUUGGGCGUAAAGCGCGUGUAGGCGGUCCGGUAAGUCAGCUGUGAAAGUCAAGGGCUCAACCCUUGAAAGCCGGUUGAUACUGUCGGGCUAGAGUCCGGAAGAGGCGAGUGGAAUUCCCGGUGUAGCGGUGAAAUGCGCAGAUAUCAGGAGGAACACCGGUGGUGUAGACGGCUCACUGGACCAUAACUGACGCUGAGACACGAAAGCGUGGGUAGCAAACAGG
Molecule: ribosomal RNA, 253 nt
Filed under: uncultured bacterium
Lineage: Bacteria
Description: partial 16S ribosomal RNA
Rfam family: Bacterial small subunit ribosomal RNA
Source: RNAcentral